GGGACCUCACCCGGCCCGGACACCGCGAGGAUUGACAGACUGAGAGCUCUUUCUCGAUUCGGUGGGUGGUGGUGCAUGGCCGUUCUUAGUUGGUGGAGCGAUCUGUCUGGUUAAUUCCGAUAACGAACGAGACCCCAACCUGCUAACUAGCCCUCGGGUCCUGCUUCUGUUGGGCCCGACGGAAUGAUUCGCUUCUUAGAGGGACUCGCGGCGCCUAGCCGCACGAAGGGGGGCGAUAA
RNAcentral lists this ribosomal RNA (239 nucleotides) under uncultured eukaryote. RNAcentral's name for it is "partial 18S ribosomal RNA". It matches the Rfam family "Eukaryotic small subunit ribosomal RNA", at positions 1212 to 1456 of the family's 1831-position model. The record is from RNAcentral.